GUAAUUAUGAAUUUGACUUCAUAUUCAUUAAUUUAUGUAUUCAAUAAAAGUAUUAGCUACUAUAUAGCAAGCAUUAUUCUAGACACUGUAACUAUAGCAGUGAACAAAGAGUUCAUGUUUUCAUUGAGCUCAUAUUGUUGGUGUGAAAGGGAUGACAGAUAAUAAAGUAAUGAAAAAUAGUAUGUAGAUAGUGAUAGAACCCAUUAAAAAUAAAGCAAGGAAAGAUUCGAGUAAGAUAGGGUGGUCAGGGAAGAUUCUUUAAUAAGAUGACAUUGAAGAAGAGACUUCAAUUAAGUGGAUGAUAGAUCCAGACAGUUAUGUGAAGGAAGAGUCUCCCAAACAAGGAGAAGCAAGUGCAAAUGCCCAUGGCAGUGUGGGCUUAGCUUACAGACAAGUAAAAAGAGAAUGGGCAAGCUAGGUUUCAGGGGUAAAUAAGGGAGUAUAAAUCUCAGGGAGUAUAAAAGGCCACAGUAAGUGAAUUGUGUUACACAAUUGAUGCUAAGAAUCAGAAUAUACCACCCUGAAAUAUGUGUGUGUGGUGUGUGUGUGUGUGUGUGUGUGUGAGAGAGAGAGAGAGAGAGAGAGAGAGAGAGAGAUUUCCCUUUUUCACAUAUCAAGAGAAGGAAAACAGCUAU
This 635-nucleotide long non-coding RNA is filed under the name Marmota monax (woodchuck). Lineage: Eukaryota; Metazoa; Chordata; Mammalia; Rodentia; Sciuridae. The record is from RNAcentral.